CUCAUCUGGCACUCACAGUAUGAAUGUAAGGGAUCUGUAUCUAAAUGUAGAUAUUUGGAUAUUGAUUAUAGUGUGUGCAAGCCAAUAUCAGGAGAGUCUAAAUGUUUUGAUCCCCAUUUCCAACCCCGUACAAUUUGGUUGGUAAUUCGGAAUAGUAACUCCCAGGGGACAUUACUAAAUAGGACUGUGAUAAGCACCAUACAUUCCACGGG
Non-coding RNA from Pelobates cultripes (western spadefoot toad), 212 nucleotides. The record is from the annotation of a GenBank genome assembly. Lineage: Eukaryota; Metazoa; Chordata; Amphibia; Anura; Pelobatidae.